UACAGAGGCCUCGAGCGUUAGGCGGAAUCACUGGGCUUAAAGCGUGUGUAGGCGGACUUCUAAGUACCUUGUGAAAUCCCACGGCUUACCCGUGGAACGGCUGGGUAUACUGGUCGUCUUGAGCCAUCUAGGGGCUACCGGAACAAAUGGUGGAGCGGUGAAAUGCGUAGAUAUCGGAAGGAACACCUGUGGCGAAAGCGGCUCACUGGACCAUUACUGACGCUGAGGCACGAAAGCUAGGGGAGCAAACAGG
RNAcentral lists this ribosomal RNA (253 nucleotides) under uncultured bacterium. Its description in RNAcentral is "partial 16S ribosomal RNA". It matches the Rfam family "Bacterial small subunit ribosomal RNA", at positions 524 to 776 of the family's 1533-position model. The record is from RNAcentral.